RNAcentral lists this ribosomal RNA (1420 nucleotides) under Campylobacter coli. RNAcentral's name for it is "partial 23S ribosomal RNA". It matches the Rfam family "Bacterial large subunit ribosomal RNA", at positions 1517 to 2925 of the family's 2925-position model. Lineage: Bacteria; Pseudomonadati; Campylobacterota; Epsilonproteobacteria; Campylobacterales; Campylobacteraceae. The record is from RNAcentral.
GUCGUAGGAGGUUAUACAGGCAAAUCCGUAUAACAAUACUCCGAGAACUGAAAGGCUUUUUGAAGUCUUCGGAUGGAUAGAAGAACCCCUGAUGCCGUCGAGCCAAGAAAAGUUUCUAAGUUUAGCUAAUGUUGCCCGUACCGUAAACCGACACAGGUGGGUGGGAUGAGUAUUCUAAGGCGCGUGGAAGAACUCUCUUUAAGGAACUCUGCAAAAUAGCACCGUAUCUUCGGUAUAAGGUGUGGUUCGCUUCGUAUUAGGAUUUACUCCGAAAGCGAAGAAACUUACAACAAAGAGUCCCUCCCGACUGUUUACCAAAAACACAGCACUCUGCUAACUCGUAAGAGGAUGUAUAGGGUGUGACGCCUGCCCGGUGCUCGAAGGUUAAUUGAUGGGGUUAGCAUUAGCGAAGCUCUUGAUCGAAGCCCGAGUAAACGGCGGCCGUAACUAUAACGGUCCUAAGGUAGCGAAAUUCCUUGUCGGUUAAAUACCGACCUGCAUGAAUGGCGUAACGAGAUGGGAGCUGUCUCAAAGAGGGAUCCAGUGAAAUUGUAGUGGAGGUGAAAAUUCCUCCUACCCGCGGCAAGACGGAAAGACCCCGUGGACCUUUACUACAGCUUGACACUGCUAUUUGGAUAAGAAUGUGCAGGAUAGGUGGGAGGCUUUGAGUAUAUGACGCCAGUUGUAUAUGAGCCAUUGUUGAGAUACCACUCUUUCUUAUUUGGGUAGCUAACCAGCUUGAGUUAUCCUCAAGUGGGACAAUGUCUGGUGGGUAGUUUGACUGGGGCGGUCGCCUCCCAAAUAAUAACGGAGGCUUACAAAGGUUGGCUCAGAACGGUUGGAAAUCGUUCGUAGAGUAUAAAGGUAUAAGCCAGCUUAACUGCAAGACAUACAAGUCAAGCAGAGACGAAAGUCGGUCUUAGUGAUCCGGUGGUUCUGUGUGGAAGGGCCAUCGCUCAAAGGAUAAAAGGUACCCCGGGGAUAACAGGCUGAUCUCCCCCAAGAGCUCACAUCGACGGGGAGGUUUGGCACCUCGAUGUCGGCUCAUCGCAUCCUGGGGCUGGAGCAGGUCCCAAGGGUAUGGCUGUUCGCCAUUUAAAGCGGUACGCGAGCUGGGUUCAGAACGUCGUGAGACAGUUCGGUCCCUAUCUGCCGUGGGCGUAAGAAGAUUGAAGAGAUUUGACCCUAGUACGAGAGGACCGGGUUGAACAAACCACUGGUGUAGCUGUUGUUCUGCCAAGAGCAUCGCAGCGUAGCUAAGUUUGGAAAGGAUAAACGCUGAAAGCAUCUAAGCGUGAAGCCAACUCUAAGAUGAAUCUUCUCUAAGCUCUCUAGAAGACUACUAGUUUGAUAGGCUGGGUGUGUAAUGGAUGAAAGUCCUUUAGCUGACCAGUACUAAUAGAGCGUUUGGCUUAUCUUU